UGCGCCUUUGAUGGUUUAGAGCCUCGGUCUUGUGCAACCGCACCCAUACCGAAUUAACCCUAAGUCUAUCCCCAACGCGCUACAGCAUACGGAGAACCCUACUCUCUAGCUCUGGACGCAGGUACAACCAUGUGGAGUUGAUCUCCCUAUCUCGGCCGGCCAUUGAGCAGUUGUGAGCCAUUGUUAUUAACUGAGAAGCUACUAUUGCAAUCAGGGGACGAGGUGUUUAGCUGUUUGCAUGCCAAAUACGAGCUUACUGACAUCCUAGGCUCAAAAUUCAUACCCCUCAUCCGAUUCUUUUACUUUACAUGCCGAAUCACAUGCUCAAAGAAAUCCUCAAAUGCGAAGACUUGGAACGUGAAGGUAUGGCCGAGCCUAUCAGGGUGGUAAAUUUGGAGACAUCCCACAGUGGAUUUCUUUGAGCUUGUGGUUCGACAUGUAUGGGAAUCUCAUCUUGGAUGAGGGGAUAAAUUUUGAGCCUAAAGGGGAUGAAUUUUGAGCCUAGGCGGGCAGUUCGCAUCAAAUGUAUUUCUCAAAUCCAUAUUUGUCAUUGACACCUUCACCUACGAGGAGCGCAAUGGGUGGUCCAACGUCUUUAGCAUCUGUCCAAAUUUAUGGAGGAUGAUAGGCGCGUGCUUCAUUUGCGCUAGUGGUUUAAAAAAUGGAUCGGUGUAUCGGAUUGGUUGGAUUAAGCUUAAAUAAAAUCCAAAACAAUUAUUACAAUUCAUUAUAAAUGUUUUUUUUUUAGAAUCCAAUAAGAAA
Molecule: long non-coding RNA, 762 nt
Organism: Amborella trichopoda
Lineage: Eukaryota; Viridiplantae; Streptophyta; Magnoliopsida; Amborellales; Amborellaceae
Source: RefSeq, a predicted model, not a curated record